This 450-nucleotide ribosomal RNA is filed under the name uncultured bacterium. RNAcentral describes it as "bacterial SSU rRNA". It matches the Rfam family "Bacterial small subunit ribosomal RNA", at positions 328 to 792 of the family's 1533-position model. The record is from RNAcentral.
UUGCCAGACUCCUACGGGAGGCAGCAGUGGGGAAUAUUGGGCAAUGGAGGCAACUCUUACCCAGCAAUGCCGCGUGAAUGAAGAAGGUCUUCGGAUUGUAAAGUUCUUUAAUUGGGGACGAAAAAAAUGACGGUACCCAAGGAAUAAGCCCCGGCUAACUACGUGCCAGCAGCCGCGGUAAUACGUAGGUGGCGAGCGUUAUCCGGAAUGAUUGGGCGUAAAGGGUGCGCAGGCGGUCCUGCAAGUCUGGAGUGAAACGCAUGAGCUCAACUCAUGCAUGGCUUUGGAAACUGGAGGACUGGAGAGCAGGAGAGGGCGGUGGAACUCCAUGUGUAGCGGUAAAAUGCGUAGAUAUAUGGAAGAACACCAGUGGCGAAGGCGGCCGCCUGGCCUGUUGCUGACGCUGAGGCACGAAAGCGUGGGGAGCAAAUAGGAUUAGAUACCCUGGUA